RNAcentral lists this ribosomal RNA (680 nucleotides) under uncultured bacterium. Its description in RNAcentral is "bacterial SSU rRNA". It matches the Rfam family "Bacterial small subunit ribosomal RNA", at positions 65 to 777 of the family's 1533-position model. The record is from RNAcentral.
GACUAAGAUAUUAGCUUGCUAGUAUUUUAGUUAGUGGCCGACGUGUGAGUAACACAUGAGAAUCUACCUGAUAGUAAGGAAUAACCACCAGAAAUGGUGGCUAAUACCUUAUAUACCCUGAGGGGGAAAGAUUUAUCGCUAUCAGAUGAGCUUGUGCUAGAUUAGCUAGUUGGUAAGGUAAUGGCUUACCAAGGCGAUGAUCUAUAGCUGGUCUGAGAGGACGGACAGCCACAUUGGAACUGAGAUACGGUCUAGACUCCUACGGGAGGCAGCAGUGGGGAAUAUUGGACAAUGAGCGAAAGCUUGAUCCAGCCAUGUCGCGUGAGUGAAGAAGGCCUUAGGGUUGUAAAACUCUUUCAGCGGGGAAGAUAAUGACGGUACCCGCAGAAGAAGUCCUGGCUAACUCCGUGCCAGCAGCCGCGGUAAUACGGAGAGGGCUAGCGUUGUUCGGAAUUACUGGGCGUAAAGAGUGCGUAGGCAGCUUGGUAAGUUAAGGGUGAAAUCCCAUGGCUUAACCAUGGAAUUAUUCUUAAAACUACUAAGAUAGAGUUCGAGAUGGGAUAGCGGAAUUCCUAGUGUAGGGGUGGAAUCCAUAGAUAUUAGGAAGAACACCAGUGGCGAAGGCGGCUAUCUGGCUCGAUACUGACGCUGAGGCACGAAAGCGUGGGGAGCAAACAGGA